UACGUAGGGGGCGAGCGUUGUCCGGAGUUACUGGGCGUAAAGGGCGUGCAGGCGGUCUGGUAAGUUUGGAGUGACAGUGCUCGGCUUAACUGAGCAAGGUUUUCAAAAACUGCUGGACUUGAGGGCUUGAGAGGGACAUAGAAUUCCGGGUGGAGUGGUGAAAUGCGUAGAUAUCAGGAGGAACACCGAUGGCGAAGGCAGGUCUCUGGGCCACUACUGACGCUGAGAAGCGAAAGCAUGGGGAGCAAACAGG
Molecule: ribosomal RNA, 253 nt
Filed under: uncultured bacterium
Lineage: Bacteria
Description: partial 16S ribosomal RNA
Rfam family: Bacterial small subunit ribosomal RNA
Source: RNAcentral